GCGAUGCUACAGUGUCCAUAGCUUGGGCUAGAGACCUUGGAAUCUAGCCUGACCACAGUGGGUAUGUCCAGGGCUAGGCACAGCCCUACUUCGAUGCCCUCCUACAGAACUCCCAGAGCCCAGGGGCUAGAGUUUAGAUGGGAGAAGACCAUGACCUAGUUAACGCUGUUGAGAGACAGAGCCCGAGUCUAGGGGAUCCCCAUUCUCUCCCUUCCAAGCUGCAAGGGGCUUACUGGGAAGGCGGAGAUGAAGAGGAAUGACUCGCUGGGUGUCUUCACCCCUCGGAGGGCCGGAGAGACACUGCACAGUGCUCUGGUUCUGCCCAAGAGAGAAGGCAGUGUGUAGGUUCCGGGCAGGAAGUGAACACGCUGACCCCUUCCAGACCCCUGGAACGAGGCUGGAGGAAGCAGAAGGAAGGCGGCACGCUAGCCCCGCAGCCCAAGGUGCGGCUUCGCCAGGAGGUGGUCAGUGCGGCUGGCCCCAGGAGGGGUCAGCGUAUCGCUGUGCCAGUGCGCAAGCUCUUCGCCCGGGAAAAACGGCCGUAUGGUCUGGGGAUGGUGGGACGGCUCACCAACCGCACGUAC
RNAcentral lists this long non-coding RNA (584 nucleotides) under Rattus norvegicus (Norway rat). Its description in RNAcentral is "long non-coding RNA NONRATT004131". Lineage: Eukaryota; Metazoa; Chordata; Mammalia; Rodentia; Muridae. The record is from RNAcentral.